CACGUAUUUUCCUUCACCCUUUGCAGUUUUUGUACUCUGAAUUAAUCCUGCAAGAAAGAUUUUACUAUUUGAACUUGAUUUUCAAUUCUGUUGCUUGUUUAUUCCUUUGUGUUUUGAUGAUUUCUUUAAUGGGUUCUCAUUAUUUUUGUAGUUAAGACAUUGAUGGAGGUUGUUUUUUUCAGGUCUUUACACAUUGCAGAGACUCUUGUCGUGCCCUGGAUAUGGUUUCAGCUUUUGGCUUCAAUUUUUCUGAUUGGAUGAGAAAUGAGAUGAAGUGGGAUUUUUGGGUAGGAGAUAAAAUGGAUCUCUCCAUAGAUAUUGCCAAUGUAGCUUUUUCGAUAUGGUUAUUGGCAUGGUUUUUGAUAGAAAUCUGGAAACGAAGGAGAGGUGGUAGUGGCGUACGCAGGGAAGAAUCAACCCUGUUUACCAAAAUCACUGUUCUUUGUAAUUUCUUAAUUUCCAUCUUGAAUCUUGGUUUUGGGUUUCUUGAGUAUUGGGAUUUAAGAGCCGUUUUCUCAUCCAUGACUUGGAUUUUAGCUACAUUGGUUGCAUUCUAUUCUGAACAAACAACUCUUAGAGAAGGCAACAGAUGGCCCGCAGUCCUCAUUCUUUGGUGGGUAGUUUCCUGCAUUUGCCGUUCACUUUCUGUCUCAAUUUACUUGAUUACCCAUUUCAGUUCCAUAGAAUUGCCCAAUCUCUUGCCUGAAACUAACAUUGUUGAUUUCAUUUCCUUACCAUUAUCAAUACUGCUUUGCUUCAAUGCUUUAACUUUCGCAUUCAGUUGUAAUACCAAGAUACAAAGUGGUCUUGAACACCCUUUACUUCAAGAAGAACACAAGAGCGAGUUAAAAGAUUCAGCUAGUUAUGCCAAGGCUGGAAUUUGCAGCCAACUCACCUUCCAAUGGCUAAAUCCACUAUUUAGAAAGGGGAGAAUCCAAAAACUAGAAUUGUCUCACAUUCCUUCAGUUCCUCAAUCUGAAACAGCAAAGCAUGCUUCCUCGUUGCUUGAAGAAUCACUUGGGAAAAGGAAAACUGAAACUUAUAACUUGCCCAAGGCCAUUGCUUAUGCCAUAUGGAAAUCCUUGACCAUAAAUGGUGUUUUUGCAGGAGUUAAUACAAUUGCCUCCUACAUGGGUCCCCUUCUGAUCACCAGCUUUGUGAAUUUCUUGUCUGAGAAACAUGAGGAUUCAAGCUACCUCUAUGGGUUAGUUCUUGCUUUUAUCUUCUUUAUCUCGAAGACAAUUGAAUCACUAACUCAACGACAGUGGUAUUUCGGUGCUCAACGUAUUGGCAUACGAGUAAGGGCAGCUCUUACGGUACUGCUCUACAAGAAAUGUCUAUCUGUCAAAUUUGUAGGUCCAAGCGCUGGUAAAAUCAUAAAUAUGAUCAAUAUGGAUGUGGAAAGGAUAGGGGAUUUCUGCUGGAACAUUCAUGGAGUAUGGUUGCUACCACUUCAGGUCUUCCUAGCCCUUGUUAUUUUGUAUAGGAAUCUGGGUGCUGCCCCCUCAUUUGCUGCUCUCUCUUCCACAAUUUUGAUUAUGGUGAGCAAUACACCAUUGGCCAAUAAGCAAGAAAAGCUGCACACCAGGAUCAUGGAAGCUAAGGACUCAAGAAUUAAAGCAACUUCAGAGACUCUCAAGAGCAUGAGAGUCUUGAAACUGUAUUCAUGGGAAUCUGCAUUUUUGAAGAAGCUUCGUAAACUCAGAGAUGCCGAGAGAGAAUGGCUGAAAAGAUAUCUCUAUACAAGCUCAUUCAUAGCCUUUCUCUUUUGGGCUUCACCAACUCUAGUCUCUGUCAUUACCUUUGGAGUCUGCAUUCUACUAAAAACACCAUUAACAACAGGUACAGUCCUCUCAGCAUUAGCCACAUUCCGAAUUCUGCAAGAACCCAUCUACAACCUGCCUGAGCUCAUUUCCAUGAUUGCUCAAACUAAGGUCUCAGUUGAUCGCAUCCAAGAGUUCUUAAAAGAAGAUAAUCAGAGAAAGCAAAUACCUUGUAACAUCUCACAAGCAUCUGACAUCUCAAUUGAAAUUGAAAUUGGAGAAUAUGCUUGGGAAACAAAUUAUCAGAACUCAAGGAAACCUACUAUUAAAAUUACGGAGAAAAUGAAAAUAAAGAAGGGUUACAAAGUUGCAGUGUGUGGAUCAGUUGGGUCUGGCAAAUCAAGCCUACUCUGCAGUAUACUUGGCGAGAUCCCCAGAAUUUCUGGAGCAGGAAUUAAGGUGUAUGGAGCAAAGGCUUAUGUUCCCCAAAGUGCUUGGAUUCAAACAGGAACAGUGAGAGAAAAUGUGUUGUUUGGCAAGGAUAUGGAUAAGGCUUUCUACGAGGAAGUUCUGGAAGUAUGUGCUUUGAACCAGGAUAUUGGGACAUGGGUGGACAGAGAUUUGAUUGUGGUGGGAGAGAGAGGGAUGAACUUGAGUGGAGGACAAAAGCAGAGAAUUCAACUUGCAAGGGCUGUUUAUAGUAAUUCAGAUGUUUAUAUCCUGGAUGACCCUUUUAGUGCUGUUGAUGCACAUACUGGAACACAUCUGUUCAAGAAAUGUUUCAUGCAAUUAUUGUCUCAGAAAACUGUGAUAUAUGCUACCCAUCAACUGGAAUUUUUAGAUGCUGCUGACCUUGUUCUGGUGAUGAAAGAUGGUGUGAUUGUCCAGUCAGGAAAAUAUGAAGAUUUAAUUGAAGAUCCAACUGGGGAACUUGUUACACAAAUGGCUGCUCAUAAAAAGUCUAUAAAGCAAGUAAACCCACCCCCAGAAUAUAAUGUCUUAACCAGUGGACCCUCUCAGUUAAAUGAAAAUGAAGUCAUAGAAGAGACAUUUGAAGAACCUAUCAGUAACAGGAGAAUUUCAGAGAGAAAUCAAGAAGAAUUAACAGAAACUGGUAGAGUGAAAUGGAGUGUUUACUCAACUUUUGUUACUUCAGCUUAUAAAGGUGCACUUGUUCCAGUCAUUCUUCUAUGUCAAGUCCUCUUCCAGGGACUCCAGAUAGGAAGCAAUUAUUGGAUUGCUUGGGCAUCAGAGGACAGACACAAGAUGACCAGAGAGCAGUUGAUUGAGAUAUUCAUUUUGUUGUCUGGUGGAAGCUUUAUCUUUAUAUUAGGGAGAACAGUUUUGCUGGCAAACAUUGCUGUUGAGACUGCUCAACGACUCUUCCAAGGAAUGAUCGAAUCAGUUUUUAGAGCACCUAUUUCAUUCUUCGAUUCAACGCCUUCAAGUAGAAUUCUCAACAGGUCCUCUACAGAUCAAAGCACCGUGGACACAGACAUUCCCUACAGAUUAGCUGGAUUGGCAUUUGCACUAAUUCAACUUUUAAGUAUAAUUAUCCUUAUGUCUCAUGUCGCUUGGCAGGUCUUCCUUCUCUUUCUUGUCAUUAUCGGAAUCUCCAUCGGCUAUCAGGCCUAUUACAUUUCCACUGCUAGAGAAUUAGCCAGGAUGGUUGGAAUCAGGAAGGCUCCUAUCUUGCAUCACUUUUCAGAAUCUAUUGCAGGGGCAGCAACUAUUCAUUGUUUCAAUCAGGAAGAUCGCUUUUUGAUGAGAAUCCUGAGCCUCAUGAUUAUUCUCGCAUAGUCUUCCACAACACAGGCACAAUGGAAUGGCUAUGCGUUCGAAUAAACUUUCUUUUCAACCUGCUUUUCUUCCUUGCUCUGAUCAUCUUGAUGAGCCUUCCUAGGUUAGCUAUUGAUCCCAGUAAGCUCCUUGUGCUCCUCAUAUUUAUCUAUCCAAUGGCUAAGAGGAAUAAAGUUCAACAACUGUCCACCAAAUGUGAAUAUUUCAGAUAUCAGAUAGAAAAUUUAGUGAAGGAGUCAUAUAGUUCUAUAAAUUUUCCUCACAGCCAAAAUUCCCAGGAAUUUGCUUCCGUUUAAACCCCUUAUGUCAAUGUUAAACUAAUGACUGCUAAACUGGAUGUCAGGCUUGGCAGGGCUGGCAGCCACCUAUGGUCUGAACCUGAAUAUUCUUCAGGCUUGGGUUAUAUGGAACCUAUGCAACGUUGAGAACAAAAUGAUAUCGGUGGAAAGAAUUCUUCAAUUCACUAACAUACCCAGUGAAGCUCCCUUGGUGAUUGAAAACGGUAGGCCAAAUUCUGAAUGGCCAGUGGAUGGAAGAAUUGAACUAUUCAGCCUUUGUGUCCAAUAUAGUCCUGCUCUCUCAAUGGUUCUCAAAUCCAUAACUUGCACUUUCCCAGGAGGUAAGAAAAUUGGUAUUGUGGGCAGAACUGGAAGUGGAAAGUCUACUUUGAUUCAGGCUCUAUUUAGGGUGAUUGAGCCCUCGGGAGGACAGAUUCUUAUUGAUGAACUUGAUAUUUCCAAGAUAGGUUUGCAAGAUUUGAGGUCUAGGCUAGGUAUAAUUCCUCAAGACCCCACAUUGUUUCAAGAAACUGUGAGGAAUAAUCUGGACCCUUUGGAAGAACACUCAGAUCAAGACAUCUGGGAGGUAAGAGUCACAAUUCCGGUCGUUUUAGCACAAGACUGGAAUUAUAUUUACUGAAAGAAUAUGUUUUUCAGGUUCUCAACAAGUGUCGCCUUGCUGAUGUGGUGAAGCAGGACCAAAGGCUUCUUGAAGCACCAGGUCCAUAUUUAUACUUGAUCAUUCUGAGUUUCUGAAGAUGGAGAAAACUGGAGUGUUGGGCAGAGGCAGCUUGUUUGUCUGGCUAGAGUGCUUCUAAAGAAGAGAAGAAUUUUAGUAUUGGAUGAGGCCACAGCUUCUAUUGAUACAGCAACAGACAACAUCAUUCAAGCAACAAUAAGAGAAGAAACUAGUAGAUGCACAGUCAUCACUGUCGCUCAUCGAAUACCUACGGUCAUUGACAAUGACUUGGUUAUGGUUCUUGACGAAGGCAAGGUGAUAGAGUAUGACUCCCCUGUGCAAUUGUGCAAGGACAAUUCUUCCUCAUUUUCAAAGUUGGUCGCAGAAUUCUCAAGGAGAUCCUCCACAAGAAAUCAACAUAGGGAUUAUCUUGACAAGAGGAGAGAUUAAGCCCCAGCCUCAGUAUUUCAUAAUUGUGAAAGUAGGUCAUAUGAUUUAUUGUAGUGCAAUCUGAUCAAAAUGGCAGUAGCAACUAGAUAUAGAAGGCAAAACUAAUCAACAGAAGUGUAAACAAGCAUACCCUACCUUGCACGGUACAAUUAGUAAGGCAAAUCACAGAAAAUGAAUUCAAGAGCAUUUAAACUUCAGCUUAUUAAUGUAAAAUUGCAAACUACGAGCCAUAAAUUUUUCCAGAAAGUAACAAAGGAAACAAGAUAUGAGCAGUGAAUAUAUAAUACACUGAAGAAACUGCAGAUCAGCUGGCAGUCAUGUGCAAUUGAAUAUGCAAUUCAUAUCUUUGGAGAUUGUAAUAGAGCUCAAAUCUGCUAACUUGUUCAUCUAUGCCAGAAGGCCUAGUAAAGAUCCAUAUAUUGGAUGUGUGAACUGGGAAGUAAGGUUUGAGCUGCUCACAAGGUGGAUGGUUAGUUUCACUUUCAAUGCAGUAGCUCCACUAUUGCUGCUGUUAAACUUUAGGGCCUAAUCCGUGGGAUUACACCGCCUCACACAAGUGUGAACUGAAACUUAUGUUCAACUCAUCCCUCUCAAUGUAUCAGAGUUCACCACAGAGAUCAAAUAAU
This 5596-nucleotide unclassified non-coding RNA is filed under the name Hevea brasiliensis (rubber tree). Lineage: Eukaryota; Viridiplantae; Streptophyta; Magnoliopsida; Malpighiales; Euphorbiaceae. The record is from RNAcentral.